UACGGAGGGGGCAAGCGUUAUUCGGAAUUAUUGGGCGUAAAGGGCGCGUAGGCGGCUAGAUGUGUCAAAGGUGAAAUCCCUCGGCUCAACUGAGGAACUGCCUUUGAAACUGUCUGGCUUGAGGCCGGGAGAGGGUAGCGGAAUUCCCAGUGUAGCGGUGAAAUGCGUAGAUAUCUGGAGGAACACCGGUGGCGAAGGCGGCAUCCUGGACCAAUAUUGACGCUGAGGAGCGAAAGCCAGGGGAGCAAACGGG
RNAcentral lists this ribosomal RNA (253 nucleotides) under uncultured bacterium. RNAcentral describes it as "partial 16S ribosomal RNA". It matches the Rfam family "Bacterial small subunit ribosomal RNA", at positions 524 to 776 of the family's 1533-position model. The record is from RNAcentral.